UAGCGCAAUCACUUGUCCCCUAAAUAGUGACUAGUAUGAACGGCCAUACGAGAAUAAACCUGUCUCUUUUGACAAAUCAGUGAAACUGAUCUUCCAGUACAAAAGCUGGAAUAUCAACAUAAGACGAAAAGACCCUGUGGAGCUUCAAUAUCACUCUACCCCCAUUAGCACAAAUAUUUUAGUUGGGGCAACUUCGGAACAAAACUAAACUUCCGAGCAUGCUCCGGAAACACCGUUAUCAAGACAAACAUGUCAAAACCCGAGCCAGAUCCAGUAACCCACUGACCAACGAACCAAGUUACCCCAGGGAUAACAGCGCCAUCUUCUUCUAGAGCCCCCAUCGACAAGAAGGUUUACGACCUCGAUGUUGGAUCAGGACACCCCAGCAGCGCAGCCGCUACUAAAGGUUCGUUUGUUCAACGAUUAAAGCCCUACGUGAUCUGAGU
This 446-nucleotide ribosomal RNA is filed under the name Varanus bengalensis. RNAcentral describes it as "partial large subunit ribosomal RNA". It matches the Rfam family "Bacterial large subunit ribosomal RNA", at positions 1957 to 2610 of the family's 2925-position model. Lineage: Eukaryota; Metazoa; Chordata; Lepidosauria; Squamata; Varanidae. The record is from RNAcentral.